UACGUAGGGUGCAAGCGUUGUCCGGAAUUACUGGGCGUAAAGCGUGCGUAGGUGGUUCGUUAAGUCUGAUGUGAAAGCCCUGGGCUCAACCUGGGAAUGGCAUUGGAAACUGGCGACCUAGAGUGCGGUAGAGGGUAGUGGAAUUCCCGGUGUAGCAGUGAAAUGCGUAGAGAUCGGGAGGAACAUCUGUGGCGAAGGCGACUGCCUGGACCAGCACUGACACUGAGGCACGAAAGCGUGGGGAGCAAACAGG
This 253-nucleotide ribosomal RNA is filed under the name uncultured bacterium. Its description in RNAcentral is "partial 16S ribosomal RNA". It matches the Rfam family "Bacterial small subunit ribosomal RNA", at positions 524 to 776 of the family's 1533-position model. The record is from RNAcentral.